GCAUAUCAAUAAGCGGAGGAAAAGAAACUAACUAGGAUUCCCCCAGUAACUGCGAGUGAAGAGGGAAGAGCUCAUCAUUGGAAUCUGGCAGUGUUGCACUGUCCGAGUUGUAGAUGAGGAGUAGUCCAUCUGGACUGCAUGGCGUCCAAGUACAAUAGGCCGUCAGUGGGACAUCAUAGAGGGUGACAAUCCCGUCCUUGAUGCCAAUGUGCAAGUCCGUUACGAUGGCUAUCUCAGAGAGUCGAGCAGUUUGGGAUUUGCUGCUUAAACAUGGGAGGUAGAUUCCUUCUAAAGCUAAAUACAGGCGAGAGACCGAUAGAGAACAAGUACCGCAAGGGAAAGAUGAAAUAGAACUCUGUGAAGGGAGUCAAAAGGCGUGAAAUUGUUGCGAGAGAAGCGAUUCAAGUCAGCGUAGCUAGGCCCAUCAAGCGUCUCCGCUUUGGACUAGCUUUGCCAGCGGUCUUGUCCUUAGAGACUUGACAUAAUAUACGUGUCCAGCCUGGUAUGCACAGGUAGCCCCUCUGGGGGCCAGUGGCACGGCUGGUGGAAUGGCUUGCAAUCGACCCGUCUUGAAACACGGACCAAGGAGUCUAACAUGUAUGCGAGUAUAAGGGUGGCAAACCCGUAUGCGCAAUGAAAGUGAUUUUCGGUGAUUAAGAAUGGCCUGAUGACCAGACAAGCAAUACAUGUCCCUCGGACGGCCAUUGCCCAAGUUCCGUGGUAGAUCCCAUGAACAUGGAGUUGGAGCAUACAUGCUAGGACCCGAAAGAUGGUGAACUAUGCCUGGACAAAGCGAAGCCAAAGGAAACUCUGGUGGAGGCUUGUAGCGAUUCUGACGUGCAAAUCGAUCGUCUGAUCUGGGUAUAGGGGCGAAAGACUAAUCGAACCAUCUCAUAGCUGGUUCCUGCCGAAGUUUCCCUCAGGAU
This 926-nucleotide ribosomal RNA is filed under the name Cantharellus appalachiensis. Its description in RNAcentral is "eukaryotic LSU rRNA". It matches the Rfam family "Eukaryotic large subunit ribosomal RNA", at positions 38 to 979 of the family's 3401-position model. Lineage: Eukaryota; Fungi; Basidiomycota; Agaricomycetes; Cantharellales; Hydnaceae. The record is from RNAcentral.